This 516-nucleotide ribosomal RNA is filed under the name uncultured bacterium. Its description in RNAcentral is "bacterial SSU rRNA". It matches the Rfam family "Bacterial small subunit ribosomal RNA", at positions 8 to 524 of the family's 1533-position model. The record is from RNAcentral.
AGAGUUUGAUCCUGGCUCAGGAUGAACGCUGGCGGCGUGCUUAACACAUGCAAGUCGAGCGAAGCGGUUUGAAGGAAGUUUUCGGAUGGAAUUCAAAUUGACUGAGCGGCGGACGGGUGAGUAACGCGUGGGUAACCUGCCUCAUACAGGGGGAUAACAGUUAGAAAUGACUGCUAAUACCGCAUAAGCGCACAGUGCCGCAUGGUACGGUGUGAAAAACUCCGGUGGUAUGAGAUGGACCCGCGUCUGAUUAGGUAGUUGGUGAGGUAAUGGCUCACCAAGCCAGCGAUCAGUAGCCGACCUGAGAGGGUGACCGGCCACAUUGGGACUGAGACACGGCCCAAACUCCUACGGGAGGCAGCAGUGGGGAAUAUUGGACAAUGGGGGAAACCCUGAUCCAGCGACGCCGCGUGACUGAAGAAGUAUUUCGGUAUGUAAAGGUCUAUCAGCAGGGAAGAAAAUGACGGUACCUGACUAAGAAGCCCCGGCUAACUACGUGCCAGCAGCCGCGGUAAU